CGAAAUGCGAUAAAUAAUGUGAAUUGCAGAAUUCCGUGAAUCAUCGAGUUUUUGAACGCACAUUGCA
Molecule: ribosomal RNA, 67 nt
Filed under: uncultured Scutellospora
Lineage: Eukaryota; Fungi; Glomeromycota; Glomeromycetes; Diversisporales; Gigasporaceae
Description: partial 5.8S ribosomal RNA
Rfam family: 5.8S ribosomal RNA
About the family: 5.8S ribosomal RNA (5.8S rRNA) is a component of the large subunit of the eukaryotic ribosome.
Source: RNAcentral